Molecule: long non-coding RNA, 3559 nt
Filed under: Salmo salar (Atlantic salmon)
Lineage: Eukaryota; Metazoa; Chordata; Actinopteri; Salmoniformes; Salmonidae
Description: lncRNA (ENSSSAG00000111852.1)
Source: RNAcentral
GAAACUGUGAAACGUAACAAGUACCCGCAAAACACCAGUCUCAACGUCAACAGUGAAGAGGCGACUCCGGAAUGCUGGCCUUCAAGGCAGAGUUGCAAAGAAAAAGCCAUAUCUCAGACAGGCCAAUAAAAAGAAAAGAUUAAGAUGGGCAAAAAAACACAGACAAUGGACAGAGGAAGAUUGAAAAAAAGUGUUAUGGACAGACAAAUCAGAGUUUGAGGUGUUCGGAUCAAGAACAUUGAGGUGUUCGGACAAAGAAGAACAUUCGUGAGACGCUGAACAUUUUUUAAGAUGCUGGAGGAGUGCUUGACGUCAUCUGUCAAGCAUGGUGGAGGCAAUGUGAUGAUCUGGGGGCGCUUUGGUGAUAGUAAAGUGGGAGAUUUGUACAGGGGAAAAGGGAUCUUGAAGAAGGAAGGCUAUCACUCCGUUUUGCAAUGCCAUGCCAUACCCAGUGGACGGCGCUUAAUUGGAACCAAUUUCCUUCUACAACAGGACAAUGACCCAAAGCACAGCUCCACACUAUGCAAGAACUAUUUAGGGAAGAAGCAUUCACCUGGUAUUCUGUCUAUAAUGGAGUAGCCAGCACUGUCACCAGAUCUCAACCCUAUUGAGCUGUUGUGGGAGCAGCUUGACCGUAUGGUACGUAAGAAGUGCCCAUCAAGCCAAUCCAACUUGUGGGAGGUGCUUCAGGAAGCAUGGGGUGAAAUCUCUUCAGAUUACAUCAACAAAUUAACAACUUGUCACGUCCUGACCAGUAAAAGGGGUUGUUUGUUAUUGUAGUGUGGUCAGGGUGUUCACGUUUAAAAAAAAUGAAAGUAUAAGUGUGGACACUUACCACGCUGCGUAUUGGUCCGAUAUUUCUUACUCCUCAGAAGACGAAGAUUAUGACACAACUAGAAUGCCAAAGGUCUGCAAGGCUGUAAUUGCUGCAAAUGGAGGAUUCUUUGACGAAAGCAGUUUGAAGGACACAAUUAUUAUUUCAAUUAAUUAUUAUUUCAUUAUAUAUAUAACCUUGUCAACGUCUUGACUAUAUUUGCUACUCAUUUUGCAACUCCUUUCAUGUAUGUUUUCAUGGAAAACAAGGACAUUUCUAACUGACCCCAAACUUUUGAAUGCUAGUGUAUAUAAAUAUUGCUUUUUAUUUAACUAGGCAAGUCAGUUAAGAACAAAUUCUUAUUUACAAUGACGGCCUUCACCGGCCAAACCCAGACGAUGCUGGACUAAUGGUGCACUGCCCUAUGGGACUCCCAAUCACAGCCGGCUGUGAUACAGCCUGGAUUCGAACCAGGGUGUCUAUAGUGACGCCUCUAGCACUGAGAUGCAGUGGCUUAGACCGCUGCGCCCCUCGGGAGCCCCAUAUCAUGUUAAAUAUAUUAAUAUGGAAACAUAUAAACUCAGCAAAAAAACAAACGUCCUCUCACUGUCAACUGUGUUUAUUUUCUGCAAACUUAACAUGUGUAAAUGUUUGUAUGAACAUAACAAGAUUCAACAACUGAGGCAUAAACUGAACAAGUUCCACAGACAUGUGACUAACAGAAAUUGAAUAAUGUGUCCCUGAUAAAAGGGGGGGUCAAAAUCAAAAGUAACAGUCAGUAUCUGGUGUGGCCACCAGCUGCAUUAAGUACUGCAGUGCAUCUCCUCCUCAUGGACUGCACCAGAUUUGUCAGUUCUUGCUGUGAGAUGUUACCUGACUCUUCCACCAAGGCACCUGCAAGUUCCCGGACAUUUCUGGUGAUGUCUGGUGAGGACCUGCCUUACAACAGGCCUACAAGCCCUCAGUCCAGCCUCUCUCAGCCUAUUGCGGACAGUCUGAACACUGAUGGAGGGAUUGUGCAUUCCUGGUGUAACUCGGGCAGUUGUUGUUGCCAUCCUGUACCUGUCCUGCAGGUGUGAUGUUCGGAUGCACCGAUCCUGUACAGGUGUUGUUACUCGUGGUCUGCCACUGCGAGGACGAUCAGCUGUCCAUCCUGUCUCCCUGUAGAGCUGUCUUUAGCAUCUCACAGUAUGGACAUUGCAAUUUAUUGCCCUGGCCACAUCAGCAGUCCUCAUGCCUCCUUGCAGCAUGCCUAAGGCACUUUCACGCAGAAGAGCAGGGACCAUGGGCAUCUUUCUUUUGGUGUUUUUCAGUGUCAGUAGAAAGGCCUCUUUUAGUGUCCUAAGUUUUCAUAACUGUGACCUUAAUUGCCUACCGUCUUUAAGCUGUUAGUGUCUUGUCUUAAUGAACGUUUCACAGGUGCAUGUUCAUUAAUUGUUUAUGGUUCAUUGAAACAGUGUUUAAACCUUUUACAAUGAAGAUCUGUGAAGUUCUUUGGAUUUUUACCAAUUAUCUUUGAAAGACAUGAUCCUGAAAAUGGGCCGUUUGUUUUUUUGCUGAGUUUACAUGGACCACUGGAACAACAGAAAGCAGACUCACAAUCAUUGCCACUAGUGAUUUUAAACCAAGCUAUAAAGAUGAGUAGGUUAUCAAAAUUAUACAAAGAUGGCCACGUUGGGUUUAUGCAACGAAGACGUAGGGAGUCCGGAAACAAGUGCAGUUGGUGAGUUUAAUAACAAGAAACAUGAAGAUAGACAAGAGAAGCGUACUGGACAUGAAAAUAAAACCAAAAACUGCCUGAAGACUGAGGCUACUGAGGGCUAAAUAAAGGGGAAGUAAUCAAGGUAAUGAUGAAGUCCAGGUGUGUAUAACUAUGGGGAGCAGGUGUGUGUAAUGAGGGUUACCAGGUGUGUAUAACUAUGGGGAGCAGGUGUGCGUAAUGAGGGUUACCAGGUGUGUAUAACGAUGGGGAGCAGGUGUGUAAAGCUAUGGGGAGCAGGUGUGCAUAAUGAUGGUUGCCAGGUGUGUGUAAUGUGGAUUGUCAGGUGUGCGUAAUUAGAGUUGCCAGGUGUGUAAUGUGGGUUGCCAGGUGUAUGUAAUGAGGGUUGCCAGGUGUACGUAAUGAGGGUUGCCAGGUGUGCGUAAUGUGGGUUGCCAGGACCGGUGGUUAGUAGACCGACGACUUCGAGCACCAGAGCAGGAGAGAGGGAGUAGGAGUGACAGUUUAUCCUGUGCAUGUGUGAUUUGUUCUAGAAUAGGGAAAGCUGUGCAUCACAAUAAAUCCACACAAUGCAAGCUCCUUCUGUUGAAUUGUAUAUGUCCUUAAGAUUCAAUCAUGUAAUGAUCUAGGGAGAUUGUGUGGGUGUACUGUAAUAUAGUAUAUGUCCUUAAGAUUCAAUGCUGUAAGGGUCCAGGGAGAAUGUGUGGGUGUACUGUAAUGUAAUAUAGAACUGUAUCUAGACUACUGUACCAUUCCAUCUAAUUACAAUGGAUUCCUAAUGAAAUCUGAUGGUACGCCAUAACCCAUGACCAUGGCGAAUGAAGAUUUAACAUACACACAAACAUACACACACACAAUGAAGACGUAACAUACCGAUGUUUCAUACACACACACAACGAAGAUGUAACAUAUAGUAGUUUCAUACACACAUACACACAUACACACACACAAUGAAGAUUUAAUAUACCGUUGUUUCAUACACACAUACAUCUGCACAAAUACAAGUGCAUGCAGGCACACACACA